UAGCUAUGAUGUGGGCAAGAGUUUAAAAGGUCCUUGAAUCUUUUCCAUCAUUGGAAGGACUCUUCUUCUUUCUGAGAAUAACUCAUGAUUGCCCUUCUCAGGCU
Small nucleolar RNA from Magnolia sinica, 104 nucleotides. Lineage: Eukaryota; Viridiplantae; Streptophyta; Magnoliopsida; Magnoliales; Magnoliaceae. The record is from RefSeq and is a predicted model, not a curated record.